CAAAACAUGAGAAGAUGUGUUAAACAAGUUUGUCUGCAUCACUUGACUGCUCUAAAAAGCAGAAUAAUCUGUCUUCACAUGAAUCCCUCUCUGUGUCGAAGUGCACUGAACAUAAAUGCUUGGGUCAUAAUGAGGAAACAGGAAAGUAGUUGUGCAAGCAGUCACGGCUGAACCACUUUCUCUAAUAUAGUUAUACAUUGGACCUUUAUUUUCUUUUAUUUAUUUAUUAUUUGUCAGCACGGUCUAGAUAACUGUUGUUGGUGUGAUCAGAAGCACUGAUAAAUCCACAAUCGACAUCCAGUGUAAGGUGGAUGACAUGACGGCGGCUCCCAUGGAUGUGAAGCAGUGGAUCGACACCGAGGACAUGGGUGUUGAUAACUCAAUCACUCCUCCAGGCUCCUACGUCAAGGUCUCAGGCAACCUUCGCUCUUUUCAUGUCAGAACGAUAACCGAUCUUUGUUUGCGUUCAGCGUCUGAGUGCUGGAGGGUAUUAAUGAAGUAACUUCA
This is a long non-coding RNA of Carassius gibelio (silver crucian carp), 507 nucleotides long. RefSeq lists it as uncharacterized. The transcript is spliced from 3 exons. NCBI's taxonomy places the organism in Eukaryota, Metazoa, Chordata, Actinopteri, Cypriniformes, Cyprinidae. The record is from RefSeq and is a predicted model, not a curated record.